This is a non-coding RNA of Microcebus murinus (gray mouse lemur), 285 nucleotides long. The record is from RefSeq and is a predicted model, not a curated record. Lineage: Eukaryota; Metazoa; Chordata; Mammalia; Primates; Cheirogaleidae.
UGGCAGUGAGGGACACCAAAGUACCCUGUCCCUGCAGAGGGGACUCAGAGACGGCAGCUCCUCGGAGCCAGCAGCCCAGCACAGUGUGAAGCAGGCACAAGCUGCAUCCCAUUGAAGGAAGCCUGUAUUUUACAGCACUCCUUGGCCACACGCUGGGCUCUGCCUUGACUGAACGUUGCUCCGGCCGGUGGUACCCACGGACCCACCUCUUCCAAACACCCUGUCUGUGCAGCGGCUCCUCCCGGGCGCUCCCUCACACGGACCCCCCCCAUCCCCGCUGUGUCC